AAUAGGAAGGAGAAUAAGUAUCCUCAUCGAAUGUCACGGAAAGGAUAUGCUAACUUCCAAGAAGAACUGGCUGAAAAAAUACCGAUUGAAGAAUUGGAUCGUGCUACGAUGUGGAUAAAGGCCCGGCAAGACAAGAGCGGCAACUUCAAAGGGCCAGCAGUGAAGAAGAAGGUCGAAAAAAUUGAAAGUUUGAAGAGGAAAGUGUUUGAAGGAGAAAUCAACCCUGAAGGA
Molecule: long non-coding RNA, 231 nt
Organism: Rosa chinensis
Lineage: Eukaryota; Viridiplantae; Streptophyta; Magnoliopsida; Rosales; Rosaceae
Exons: 3
Source: RefSeq, a predicted model, not a curated record